RNAcentral lists this long non-coding RNA (242 nucleotides) under Marmota marmota marmota (Alpine marmot). RNAcentral describes it as "lncRNA (ENSMMMG00000017553.1)". The record is from RNAcentral. Lineage: Eukaryota; Metazoa; Chordata; Mammalia; Rodentia; Sciuridae.
ACCACCCUAAAAAUAAUCUGCUCCGGCGCACUGCGUGCUUCGGCUAGGGGAGGAAAGCUCUGUCAUCCGAAUGAGAGUUCUGUGUCCUGGUUUGAAAUUUACAUCUUAAGACAGUGUAGGAAGUUCCUGUUUGGAAGGUAGCACAAGUGCAUCCAUAGGGGUUUGAAGCAUCGUCAAGCCCAAGGAAAAAUUUUGUUUGUGCCCAAGAUUAAGUCAAUUGUCCAUGAAAGGAAAGAGAGAAA